GACGAACGCUGGCGGCGUGCCUAAUACAUGCAAGUAGGACGCAGUUGCGAACGGGUGAGUAACGCGUCGGUAACUGCCUAUUAGAGGGGGAUAACUAUUGGAAACGAUAGCUAAUACCGCAUACUAGUAGAUGGACCUGCGUUGUAUUAGCUAGUAGGUAGGGUACUGGCCUACCUAGGCGACGAUACAUAGCCGAGCUGGGCGGGUGAUCGGCCAAACUGGGACUUAGACACGGCCCAGACUCCUACGGGAGGGAGCAGUAGGGAAUCUUCGGAAAUGGGGGGAACGCCGACCGAGCAACGCCGGGGGAGUGAAGAAGGGUUUCGGAGCGGAAAGCUCUGUUGUGAAGGAAGCGGUACUUAACCAGAAAGGGACGGCUAACUACGUGCCAGCAGCCGCGGUAAUAC
This 407-nucleotide ribosomal RNA is filed under the name uncultured bacterium. RNAcentral describes it as "partial 16S ribosomal RNA". It matches the Rfam family "Bacterial small subunit ribosomal RNA", at positions 28 to 526 of the family's 1533-position model. The record is from RNAcentral.